UACGUAGGGUGCGAGCGUUAAUCGGAAUUACUGGGCGUAAAGCGUGCGCAGGCGGUUUUGUAAGACAGAUGUGAAAUCCCCGGGCUCAACCUGGGAACUGCGUUUGUGACUGCAAGACUUGAGUAUGGCAGAGGGGGGUAGAAUUCCACGUGUAGCGUGAAAUGCGUAGAGUAUGUGGAGGAAUACCGGUGGCGAAGGCGGCCUCCUGGCUUAAUACUGACGCUGAGGUGCGAAAGCGUGGGGAUCAAACAGG
RNAcentral lists this ribosomal RNA (253 nucleotides) under uncultured bacterium. RNAcentral describes it as "partial 16S ribosomal RNA". It matches the Rfam family "Bacterial small subunit ribosomal RNA", at positions 524 to 776 of the family's 1533-position model. The record is from RNAcentral.